RNAcentral lists this long non-coding RNA (651 nucleotides) under Sorghum bicolor (sorghum). Its description in RNAcentral is "long non-coding RNA (SBIC_LNC004359)". Lineage: Eukaryota; Viridiplantae; Streptophyta; Magnoliopsida; Poales; Poaceae. The record is from RNAcentral.
AGCAGGACGGGUAGGUUUAUAGGUGCGGGCCGAACAUCCUUUGUGUUGUCUAGAUUCCGUGAGCCUCCCCAAUAGAACAGUAGAUCAUCCUUACCAAGGUUAGAACGAGACUACGGUUGCAGUCUUCUCUAUACAUCACUCACAUCGAGAAACAUUCUUUGUAGCCUAAAGGGGUAGUAGCAAUAGAUUUGGUUAGUCAGAUGCACCCUUUCUCCCAGUGGUAAAAAUAUAAAUACGAUAACUCUGGAUAACCUCCCGGGUGAAAUGCUCACCGAUAUCCGUGCGCUUGCGGAUCAUUUUCUAAUUGCGUUACCAAAUAUCAACACAUACUUGUCUCUGAUAUGUGGUAGCAGCCCCUGGAAAAGUCAAAUCGCCUAGCUGCCGAUCAUCCAGAACCACACUAUAGCACUUAUUCUUAACCUCUCGCAAUCUCUGCACAAAGCUCUCAACCGAUUCAUCAUUGCGUUGUUUCAGCCUGACUAGAUCGGUAAUCUUCUUCACGUGAACUCCAGAAAAGAAGUAUUUAUGGAAUUGUUUCUCUAGAUUGGCCCAAGUGAUCACUGAAUUAGGAGGUAAUGAAAUAAACCAAGUAAAGGCCGAUCUAGACAAAGAUGACGAGAACAAACGAACCCUUAACUCGUCUCUGUUAGC